RNAcentral lists this ribosomal RNA (305 nucleotides) under uncultured bacterium. RNAcentral describes it as "bacterial SSU rRNA". It matches the Rfam family "Bacterial small subunit ribosomal RNA", at positions 337 to 640 of the family's 1533-position model. The record is from RNAcentral.
UCCUACGGGCGGCAGCAGUGAGGAAUAUUGGUCAAUGGUCGGGAGACUGAACCAGCCAAGCCGCGUGAGGGAUGAAGGUACAGAGUAUCGUAAACCUCUUUUGUCAGGGAACAAAGGCGGGGACGCGUCCCCGGAUGAGUGUACCUGAAGAAAAAGCAUCGGCUAACUCCGUGCCAGCAGCCGCGGUAAUACGGAGGAUGCGAGCGUUAUCCGGAUUUAUUGGGUUUAAAGGGUGCGUAGGCGGGCUGUUAAGUCAGCGGUCAAAUGUCGGGGCUCAACCCCGGCCUGCCGUUGAAACUGGCGGC